This 109-nucleotide ribosomal RNA is filed under the name uncultured eukaryote. RNAcentral describes it as "partial small subunit ribosomal RNA". The record is from RNAcentral.
ACUAGAAGUAGCUUCGCCAACCCGCAAGGGRGGCUGGUUCCUAAGGUAUGGUCAGUGAUUGGGGUGAAGUCGUAACAAGGUAGCUGUAGGUGAACCUGCAGAAGGAUCA